This 23-nucleotide non-coding RNA is filed under the name Cricetulus griseus (Chinese hamster). Lineage: Eukaryota; Metazoa; Chordata; Mammalia; Rodentia; Cricetidae. The record is from RNAcentral.
AAAAGGCAGGACAGAAGAACAUC